RNAcentral lists this unclassified non-coding RNA (378 nucleotides) under uncultured Gammaproteobacteria bacterium. RNAcentral describes it as "contains 16S-23S intergenic spacer region". The record is from RNAcentral. Lineage: Bacteria; Pseudomonadati; Pseudomonadota; Gammaproteobacteria.
UCGCGGCUUAUCACCGGCAGUCCCCUUAGAGUGCCCAACUGAAUGAUGGCAACUAAGGGCGAGGGUUGCGCUCGUUGCGGGACUUAACCCAACAUCUCACGACACGAGCUGACGACAGCCAUGCAGCACCUGUCUCUAGGUUCCCGAAGGCACUCCUCUAUCUCUAAAGGAUUCCUAGGAUGUCAAGAGUAGGUAAGGUUCUUCGCGUUGCAUCGAAUUAAACCACAUGCUCCACCGCUUGUGCGGGCCCCCGUCAAUUUCUUUGAGUUUUAACCUUGCGGCCGUACUCCCCAGGCGGAGAACUUAACGCGUUAGCUUCGCCACUAAAAGAAAUUAAUCUUCCAACGGCUAGUUCUCAUCGUUGACGGCGUGGACUAC